UGGGGGGCUGUGAGGGUGGUUCUGAGGGCUGAUGGGAGCUUUGGAGGAACAGGAGGCUGUGAGGGGUCACAGUGAAGGGCUGUGAGGGAUGUGCAGCCUAAAAUAUAGGGAGUGUGAGGUGUGAUAGGAGCUAUGAGUAGUGUGGGGCAGACAGGGUGGUUGGGGCAGUGUUGUGAUAAGAGUAUAGAAACUUGGUGGAGAAGAAACCCCUUGUGAGCCAGCUGGUUGUUAGAGAUCAGAGAGGGUGAGGGUAGCUGGGCUUAAUCUCUUAUUAUAAGCAGCCUGGCGCAAUAAGUGGUUGUGUUCAGUAGGAACUUCCACAAGCACAGGUUCUCAAACAGGGCCCUGCUGAAAAGCCUGUCCUCACCUUUCUUAGAGACCCCUGUUAAGUCCUGCAGACAGACACAGUGGCCGCUGUGCUGUGAUAAAUGGUCAGUGGGGUCUUGGGCAGUGCUGUGCCUCUACCUCUGCCGGUGGCCAGGCACUGCUCCAAAACAGACCUAAGCUCCAAACUGGGGGAAGCAGUAAGCAGUCCUUGUAAUGUGCUUCCUUUAAGGCUUCCUUGUGACUGGAUAAUGCUACUGUGGACAGCAGUGGACUUGUCGUGGAGCAUGAGAGCCAUUUCCAGAAGCUGUGACAAGAAAUUAUUUGUUUAUCCAAAUAUAAAUUGGAAAUAUAAUACAUUAUUUUAUAUUCAUUUGUGUUUGAUUCUGCAGGGUCCUAGAGGACACUUCCACAUGUGUAAAGCAUUAUGUUCCUUGUGCUAAAUGAAGCUGAGCUAGCAAGGAAAGCAGGUUUAAAAGAGGAUGAAAGUAAAUGGAGAGGUGUGAGGACAGAGAUAAGUGUGGGCAGCAUUUGCUAAGAUUUUGUAGGAGGAUGGAAAGCUUUCGUCUUCAGCAUGAAAAUGAAAAUGUCUUCAGCAUUUAUAGAUCCUUUCACUAUAAUAUGUGAGACAUGUAUUUUGCAUACUUGGGCUCAUGGUGCCCCUCUGAGGUAAAGCAGUACUGUUAUUCUCGUGUCCAUCCCAGGAAACUGCAGCAGAGACAAUGUGUUCACAUGGGGGAAAACAAGCUGGGGAUUGACAGGCUUUGGAAAAGCAAGAGCGGGCGCAGGGAGAGGGACCAGACUCACUGUGUUUCUGUCAUGAAAUGUGAACUAUUAUUGGAGCUGAACAUACUGUUUAGACAGACGGUUGUUCUCAGUGUUCUGAAAGUAGGAAUAAUUGAAGGAUCUCUUCAAACUUCUGUCCUGAUGCUCAGUGGUGCAUUGUUGAGUCUCCCCUCCUCCCGCCGUGCCCGCAGGCACCCGCCCAGAGCUGGUCUCGACGGCAACAAAUGGUAGCAGAAGAUGGCUAUUUCCAUCAUUUGUGAAAGGGGGGAGAGAGAAAGGAACUCUGCCACUGCAAGAGCUCUGCAGAUGCUAAGAGGAGUUGACGCGCCGGGCGGAAAACAAACCCGAAGCUCCAGGACCCUCUUCGGUCCUUGCCGGCGUGCUCUCUUACCGCCCGGGAGCAGCUGUGCUGCAGGGGCAGCCGGACUGCAGGGGCCGGGAGCCAGGUAGACUUACCCGAGGACAAAGAGGACAGUUUGGCAGUGGCUCAAUGGACUGAGCUCGAAGAGUGGCCCGUCAGGGGACAGCAUUUGAAUGGAGACCAGAGGUUGACAGUGGCCGAACCCAGGGUUUCAAGGGCGAGCUCUGGUUAACGGGAACACCCAGGCUUCUGGGAGAGCCAAACUGCGAAAGAACAUGUUCUCAGUUCAGCGCGAUGUUCCACCACUGAGGAGAGAGAUAGAGAUUUCACCGCCCGAGCCCAGAGGGUAAGUUGGGUCAGAGCAGGGUGGGACCCUGGCGGGCGGCUGGGCUACCGUUUUUUCUUUUGAGUUUUAACCACCGUCCGCAUCCAUCCAUGUCCCUGGCGGCCGGGAGGCUUUUUCUUUUCCGAGGAGGACACAAACUCGCUCGGUCUUUUUGGGGUAACUCAUACUGGAAAGCUCCUUCUCUUUCUCGGAAAGCUGUCUUUUCUACCCUCUCCUCCCUAUUCUGGGCUAUGGGGGCAGGGGGGGUCGAAAGGACACCAGUGGGACAGAAUUGUAAACGGCGACACAUCAGCUAUGGGAGAAUUGUUAACAUCCUAAGAGAGGCCCUUCACAUCCAUGCAUUUCAUCGGCUUCCAGCCACGUCAGGCCCCUCUCCUGUAGAUUUUCCCCUCCGCUUCUGUGAAGCUUCCCCUUCCCUUUUCCCCACAGACUUCCCCAAACCUUCUCCCGUGGGGGUGGCCGCGGCCGAGCCGCCCCAAGUGCUCUGCCGGGCACUGUUAUCCUCCCUUAGGGGUGGCAUUGGCCGUGCCUCCCCGGGCGAGAUGCAGUGCACCCAGCACCCCCUCCCAAGAUGGCGCUGGCCACGCUACAGGGAUCCCAUUUACUCGCCUUGAUCCUUCUCUUCCGCCCACGUUUUCCCGCCAGCCCCACCCCUCCCCCAAUGGCCCUGCACCAUCCUGCAGCGGGCCAGCCCCUACUGGGGGGAGGUGAGGUUGAAUUAAUCCCUCAGUCCUUCUUCUGGCUCCCCCUCUGAUGGGAAGGAUUGCCGGAGGGGUCCCUCCGUUAGAGGACCUCCCUUUGUAAGAGAGCUUUCCCCUUUGCUGUGGGGGGGUGGGGGUGGGGCCUUCGAAGGGAGUGGAGCUGGAAACCUGGACCAGAGCUCCACUGUUUUCUUCCCCUGAAACAGUGGCACCCAGGUUCACCCUUUAUCCCAUCUCCUGAAUGUACCUUGCCCAAAGUUCCCUUAUUAUUUUAAUACAAGUUUUCCCCAUUGCUUGUGAUAACUUGGAAAUAACUUCUUGGAUUGAGUUAUAUCUUAUAGAAGGAAAGAUGAUCCUCUCUAAUUACUGCCCACAAUGCUAUGCCAACUUCGCAAUCAAAUUGGAGAAACCACAUCGCUGUUCGCUGCCUGCUUCUGCUCUGCUAGAAUUUGGAAACCACAAGAAUCGCAUCAUGAAUCCUGCUUUCUUCCUCGAUACAGAAUGUGUUUAUGAUAAUUUUGUACCCUUUAUCUUAAAUUGUAAUGUGGAAAAGAUUUUUGCCCUAUUAAUUGUAAGUAUGAUUGGUGUAUCACUUUCUGAUGUCUCUCGAAUUUGUAACGUUAUUAAUUUGUUUUUACCUCAGAACUCCCUUUCCUUUAUGUAAAUUCAAAAGAGUAAGCUGUAGGAUUUGUAAUUUUCUCUUCUUCCCCCCCCCCCCCCAUUCCCCCUCCCCCCGUGGUCCCUUGUCCCGACCCUUUGUUCCCUUCUCAGUUCCCCUCACCAUGCUGUCCAGUCCCUGCCCGCCCCUACCCCCCCCCCCGCCUUUCCCAUCGCUGUCCCCGGGGUUUCCCUGCCCCUGUCCCCUGCCCCUGUCCCCUGCCUCCCGUCCCAUUUGCCGCGGCUCAGGUUCCCCCCCGCCCCCGGCACAGGGUAUAACCGAGCCCUGCUUGGUGCCCCGGCGUCUCGGGAACACGGUUCUACAAUAAACACGUGUUUGCACCUGA
This is a non-coding RNA of Taeniopygia guttata (zebra finch), 3522 nucleotides long. The record is from RefSeq and is a predicted model, not a curated record. Lineage: Eukaryota; Metazoa; Chordata; Aves; Passeriformes; Estrildidae.